UGGGAAGACCCAUAGAGAUGCAAAAGAGUG
Molecule: non-coding RNA, 30 nt
Filed under: Mus musculus (house mouse)
Lineage: Eukaryota; Metazoa; Chordata; Mammalia; Rodentia; Muridae
Source: RNAcentral